Molecule: long non-coding RNA, 973 nt
Filed under: Populus tremula
Lineage: Eukaryota; Viridiplantae; Streptophyta; Magnoliopsida; Malpighiales; Salicaceae
Description: long non-coding RNA (PTRE_LNC002451)
Source: RNAcentral
CUCUGUUUGCAUGCCUCCCUUAUAACAUCAUCCGAGCAGCUGAAAUCCUCCACAGCAUAUGCUUAUUGGCUUUGCUUUCCUUGAGUGGGUUGUUCUGAUUUAUGUUGUGGAAAAUUUAAAACUAUGGCUGCCUUUAUUUUGAUGCUGUUAUAAAAGACGGCGUUCAGGGUGCAGUGAGUCGGUCAUCGAAUGUUAAUAUUCGAGCUACAACUCGUCGGUGAGGAUCUUCCACGCUCGGGGUCUGCUCAACUGGGAACUCAAGAAUCAAGAUUAGUUUUGCAGUACUCACUGGGAUCAUCGUAUGAACAGGAAUCACCUUGAAGGUAUUUGUUUUUAUUUAUAGCUUAGUUUACUAUGCUUCUAUUAUUUACACUAGCAUAGAGAUUCACUUGCAAAGAAACUACAUAAAGAGUAAUAUUCAGAUAGUAGAUGAGGGCUUCAAGAAAACUUAGAACUAUUCACUAGCAGAUGAGAUGGACUAGAUCCAGAAUCCUGCACACAAGAUCCAUCUAUAUAUUCAUAACACAAUAAAGAGAUAGAUCCGCGUGCGUGUGUAUACAUGCAGGAAAAGUAUACAAACCAGAUAAACAGGCCAUGAGAAGCAGAGUGACGAGGAGAGGGAGGAAUGAUCGGAAACCUAUGGGAUGGGUGGAGUAGGGAAAAUAACAAGUAGCAUCUCACAAAUCAAAGUUAUCUUCCCCGCUCACCCACCCGAUAACCUUCCGAAAAUCCUACUCCCUCUCCAUUUCCUCCCAUAUAUGUUGACUUACAAGCGGCUACCGAAGCAGUCAUGAACACUUAUUCUGGCCUUCCAUCCUUUUAUAUUGUGUUGCCAAUUCGCAACCCUAGCUACUUUAGUUUUUCACCGCCAGAUCAAGGGCAUCUCUUUGGGAAAACAAUGAUCUUGGCCGUUCAUUUCUACCUUUUAGUCAAUGAACAUGGAAUGCUUUGGCAGUUGCUUUUCACCUUUCCC